UACGAGCCACCAAUUUGUUGCACCCACC
Molecule: non-coding RNA, 28 nt
Filed under: Mus musculus (house mouse)
Lineage: Eukaryota; Metazoa; Chordata; Mammalia; Rodentia; Muridae
Source: RNAcentral